AAAUUGAAAAUCAGAAACCUUAACCUAAUUUCCUCCAACCCUCAGCAGCUGCCAGCCACACUUCCUUACCUCAAUGGUCACACAACACAGAGCAGAGAAAGAGAUUUGCGGGAAGAAGAGAAAGAAAACGUUGCUGCCGCCGCGCUUGACUGCUGCCGCCGUCGUCCUCAUCGCGCACCGCCACCGUCCAGCAGGUCGUCAUGCCGAGCUCGUUCCACCACCGUCAACACUGCCAUGAAGAAGAGAAGACGACGUCAUAACGCGAGCCAAGGCCGAGAGGAAGGGGACGUUGCUGUGCCUUCAACGCGACCGAUCCGCCGCUGCCACUGGUAGGGUUCUGUCGCCGCCGUUCAUGGAGCUUCGAUUAGCGUCACUGUCAUCGCAUACCAGAGGAGAGGGGAGCUCGUGUGUGAAGAGUAGCGCCGCUGUGCCUCCGUCGCGCCUUCAUCACCAUCGAAUUGUCUUGCUGUUGCUAGCCUCAUAGCCACUUCUGAGGCUGCGCCGCCGUGCCUCUGGUCAUGGGUGGAGUCCACUCCAAGCUGUCACCAUCACAGAAUACACGCAGAGGAGAGGGAGAAAGGAUCUCCACCGCUGUCAAGGUCGCUAGUGAGUCGUGCACUGUCACCAGAGUCUAAAACAGCACCAGCCUUCUUGUUCUGGUUCUGAUAUUCCUAUUCUUGAACCUGUGAUAGUGUCGGUGAUAAUAAAGAACUGUUGGAGUUGCUGCUGCUGCUGCUGUUCCGGCCGCAUUGGCUGUUGUAAACUGGGAAAAAGAAAGGGAUCGUUGCGUUUAAAUUCGACGGUUUCGACUAAUUGAGUGACACAGGUUCGAAGAUACAGUUUGAAGCUGCGGGCGAUUAUAGAAUUUAUUUAUGAGUUAAAUGUAUGAGUUAAUUUGCUUUCAUAGAAUUCCCUCGCUUUUGUUACUUUAGUUUUUAUUUUACACAGAGGGAUAGGAUUUGUAUCUAAGUUUUAUUGGAAAUCUUUUGUAUGACAGAUAUUAUUAUUAGUAAUUAUGUGAUUAUUAUUA
Molecule: long non-coding RNA, 1030 nt
Organism: Arachis stenosperma
Lineage: Eukaryota; Viridiplantae; Streptophyta; Magnoliopsida; Fabales; Fabaceae
Exons: 2
Source: RefSeq, a predicted model, not a curated record